UUUUCUUCGGGCACUGUGGGAGUUGUAGUUCCUGCCGCCGCUCGGAGCUGUACCACGCCGUGUCGAGGGUGGCUGCUCCUCUGCUGCGUCCGGCUCGGUCUUCGGGACUGCCACUUCUCUCGGCCUGGGAGAGGGAGCUCACGGCGCCGCGACGAUGCCGAGUGGCGGGCCGCUGGGGCGGGCCGGGCAGGUGUUGCUCCUCAUGGCCGCCGCGCCCUGGGCCGGGGUGAGGCCGCGGCCCUUCGCGCCCGGGGGCCAGCCCCGGCCCAGCGUGGUGGUGGUGGCCUGCGACUCCUUGGAUGGACGCCUGACGUUUUAUCCUGGAAAUCAGACUGUGGAUUUGCCUUUCAUAAAUUUUAUGAAAAGAUUUGGCACUGUCUUUCUCAAUGCCUAUACCAAUUCUCCAAUUUGUUGUCCUUCCCGCGCAGCGAUGUGGAGUGGUCUUUUCAUUCAUUUAACAGAGUCUUGGAAUAACUUCAAAGGUCUAGAUCCAGGUUAUGUAACUUGGAUGGAUCUCAUGGAGAAGCAUGGCUACCACACACAGAAGUAUGGGAAACUGGACUAUACUUCUGGACAUCAUUCAGUAAGUAACCGUGUGGAAGCUUGGACUAGGGAUGUUGACUUCCUGCUCCGGCAAGAAGGGAGACCCAUGGUAAACCUGACUGGUGAUAGGAAGCAUGUAAGAGUGAUGGAAGCAGAUUGGCAGAAUACUGAUAAAGCAGUGAAUUGGAUAAAGAAAGAAGCCAUUAACCUUACUCAACCAUUUGUUCUUUACUUGGGGCUGAAUUUACCACACCCAUAUCCAUCACCUUAUGCAGGAGAAAAUUUUGGAUCCUCUACAUUUUUAACAUCUCCCUAUUGGCUUGAAAAGGUAACUUAUGAAGCUAUUAAAAUACCCAAGUGGCCUUCUCUUUCAGAGAUCCAUCCAGUAGACUAUUACUCAUCUUACACCAAGAAUUGCACAGGAGAGUUUACAAAGCAAGAAGUGAGAAAUAUUAGAGCAUUUUAUUAUGCUAUGUGUGCGGAGACAGAUGCCAUGCUCGGUGAGGUUAUUUCAGCUCUGAGAGAUACUGGGCUUCUUAAGACAACAAUCAUUAUAUUCACUGCAGAUCAUGGAGAACUUGCUAUGGAACACCGGCAGUUCUAUAAAAUGAGCAUGUAUGAAGGAAGUUCCCAUGUUCCUCUUUUAGUUAUGGGGCCAGGAAUAAAAAACCAGCAGCAAAUCCCAAAUGUGGUAUCUCUCGUGGAUAUAUAUCCUACUAUGCUUGAUAUAGCAAGAAUUCCUGUCCCACAGAACCUCAGUGGAUAUUCUCUUAUACCACUGCUACGUGGGAAGCCUGAGAAUGGAGUGUCAUCCGAAGGGCAUCGGCCCUCAUGGGUGUUGAGUGAGUUCCAUGGAUGCAAUGUAAAUUCUUCCAUGUACAUGCUUCGAACUGGCAAAUGGAAAUAUAUCGCAUACUCAGAUGGCCAUUCAGUACUUCCACAGCUGUUUGAUCUUACUGCUGAUCCAGAUGAGCUAACAAACAUUGCCGUAAAAUUCCCAGCAAUGGUACAUUCCUUGGACAAAAUACUCCGCUCUAUAGUAAACUACCCGAAAGUUUCUUCUUCUGUUCAGGAGUAUAACAAAAGACAGUUUAUCAGCUGGAAGCAAAGUUUGGGUCACAAUUACUCAAAUGUUAUUGCCAACCUUAGGUGGCAUCAAGACUGGUUAAAGGAACCAAAAAAAUAUGAGAAUGCAAUUGACAAAUGGCUUAGUCAAAGGUUUUCAGAGGAGCCCAGUGCAUGGGGACAGGUUUGCAAAUAAUGCAGAAAAUCCGCUGAAUGUGCCAGCUCACAAAGUAGAGCUACAGUAUCGGGAGGCAGCGAUGCUCCUUUGCAAGAGGAUGGAAACUAUUUGAUUAUUGCCAAAGAGAACUGCUUGGCUGGAGAAGAAAAAGAAGCAGCAAAGUACACUGUGUGAUCAAGCAGAGCACCCCAGGUGGACAGAAGCAGAACAGAAAGAUAAGGAACUGGUUAUUUUGGGACUGUUUGUGAAACAAUGAGCAAUGUUGAGGAAACAAAACUGUAAACCAGGAGCUAAACACGAUGUGAUAAAAAUGGCUUUGUAUGGGAGUUGGAGCCAUAGGCUAAAGAUAGCUUUUGCUAGAAUGGUAUAAAAGCUAGAGCAAUAGGCAAUAAAAUGAUCUGCUGCAUGAAGAUGCUUUGAGUCCAUGCCUUUCAUACGCCACAAAUGGCGCCCGACACAGGCCUUAAAGAGACAGCAACGAUGGUACCAGUGGCGUAGCUGAGCCGAAUGAUGGAGCUGGAAGGAAGCUUGAAUGACGGAGCGGAAAGGAAGUUCAAGAGACGGAGCUGGAAGGAAGCUCGAGAGACGGAGCUGGAAGGAAGCUCGAGGUGCACCAUAAUUACCAUUCUGCAGGACAGAAGGUAAACAGCUGAGAAUGCGAUGGAGAACACCAUCACAGUUAUCCCGAGAUCAGCAGCACAGUCUGGAAGUAAUGCGCCGUCUGCUUGAAACUCGGCAUCGGCCCAUAUCGGGUCUGCAACUUGUGACUUUGUUAGAAUGGAUCCGUGUUAAAGUGCCUGAUUUUCCAGCUGGUGGCACUUUCCAAAUCCCCGCUUGGCAAAUUGUUGGUAAAUGGCUGCAUGAUGCUGCUUCAAACAGGGACCCCACAGCAGGGAAGCAUUUGACAACCUGGUGGCAGAUCCUGGCCACUCUUUGCCAGGUACAGACCAGUGUUGCUGCUGAUGCCGUCACGUCUAAGGAAGCUACCGAUGCUCGUGAGGGGGUAAAAUCUCCUGAAGCCUCAUCAACAGCUGCCCCCCCCAACCCCCCCUUCUGUCUCCCUGUCUGCGCCUCCUUUGUCGUCACAGUCCUCACCGCUGACCACGACGAUCCUCGCAGCGCAAGCGCCUCUAUCGGAAGCAGCUGAGUCGGGUGAUGACCCUGAUAACCUUGAUGAUCUUAACGACCCUACAGACCCCUUUGAUCCUGGUUUUGUAGGUCCAGAGGAGCCGGACUUGUUUUCUCCUCCUGCUGAGUUGCAGACCUUUACAGGGAAGGAGGGCUGGGGUCUGGAGGACUCGUGGGAGGGGGUAUACUCUUAACCGAGGAGACAUUGGGGUAGCGGUGCCGUGCCCAGUUGUCUAUCGGCCACACCAGGCUCCCUCAAAAACUAGAAAAGAAAUGUGAACUAGAAAAGAAAAAAAAAGGGGGGGGAACCGGGAUCAUGACUCCCCACAAGAUAGACAAUGGAAAGCCACAUUCGUCUUGAACUUUUUAAAUUGUAAUGGCUAGCUCAGUCAGUAGAGCAGUUGGGGGUCCUUGCACAUGUGAUAAAACUAAUGAGCAGAUACACGCACAUGGAGGAGUCUGAGCAAGAGCGUGGUUUUGUCUGUGUUAUUUAAACAUGGGUGCGAGGAUUUUGAUGGGGUGUGUUGCAUGAAUCCAAGCGACCACUCAGAAUCAAUUCAUAAGAGUAUCCCUUGCAGCUAAAUCAGGGGUGGGGCGCUUUUGGUCUGUCUUCAUGGCUCGGGAAUUUUGGACCGUGGGUCAAAAAUAUCGCAGGGUUUAUUUUAAUGGCUCUAAUUGCUGUAUUAAUGAUUGCCUUACAUCUUCCUUGUCUUUUUUCUUGUGUUCAAUGAUCAAUCGAAUGAAGUAUGAAUCAGGUUAUGGUCACACAGUUAUAUGCGAACCUUGCCCUUUCGGAGAUAAACAAAGAAGGGGGAGAUGUAGGAGAAGAUGGAAACUAUUUGAUUAUUGCCAAAGAGAGGUAGCUGCUUGGCUGGAGAAGAAAGAGUUAAAGAAGCAGCAAAGUACACUGUGUAAUUAAGCAGAGCAACCCAGGUGGACAGAAGCAGGAGAACAAAAAGAUAAGGAACUGGUUAUUUUGGGACUGUUUGUGAAACCAUGAGGAAUGUUGAGGAAACAAAACCGUAAACCAGGAACUAAACAUGAUGUGAUAAAAACGGCUUUGUAUGGGAGUUGGAGCAAUAGGCUAAAGAUAGCUUUUGCUAGAAUGGUAUAAAAGCUAGAGCAAUAGGCAAUAAAGUGAUUCGCUUCAUGAAGAUGCUUCAAGUCUGUGCCUUUUGUGCGCCACAAUCCCUCUGGAAGCACAGG
RNA transcript from Strigops habroptila (Kakapo), 4120 nucleotides. It is a transcript of the gene named arylsulfatase family member K, with no coding region annotated. NCBI's taxonomy places the organism in Eukaryota, Metazoa, Chordata, Aves, Psittaciformes, Psittacidae. The transcript has 10 exons. The record is from RefSeq and is a predicted model, not a curated record.